GUUCAUCUCGAUUUUUCUUAUUAUUUAAGUUCCUUCUGAUUAAGUUAAAUCGGGUGCUUUUAUUUUGGUAGUGUUGUAUGGCAGGAAGGAGUAUGGCGUCUGACAACAAAAAGUGUAGAGUGUAGGUAAAAAACGGAAAGUUUAGGAAAUAGAAAACGGACAAACCAUUUAAAAAUUCAGCACCUGGCUAAAAGGGGACAAGCUCUGAAUAGCACCUGCAGAUGUUCCCCUCCAGCAUGAAAAGUCCCUCGACCUCUUGUGGAAAUUACGCUUUUGGGCUGGAGCCUAUCUUGCUGUAUCUUGCUGUGUUCGUUGAAGAGCUUUUCAAAAAACACAGUUUACAAGUGCUCUUGACUGCCUGUGAGAAGAAAGCACUGCAAGCUAGCUAAAAGCUGCAAAAAAUAGAGAUGAACUGGUGAGUGGUUUAAGGAGGCACGAGCAGAGCAUGCUGGCUGAAGGCGAGAUCAUCAACACAGCAGGAAGCAAAUAAAAUCAGCCUGUGGAAGAGACUCUCCACCCCAGUCAGGGCGAGCCAAUCCCAUCAAUGAUGUCACAUGCGCACAGACGCACGCAGUGAAGGAGGAAAAAGUCCAACAGGAACAUUGUGGAGCGUAAUUUACGCACGAUUAUCUCCAAAGUGGAUUCUGCUUCUUGCCACGAAACAUUGGAAAUAUUCUCAUGAGUGUGAUGGAAAUUGUAUAUUUUACUGGUUUACAAUAUUUACUUGCAGACACUAGGCGUGUUAUUGCUAUGCAUACUUUAAUAUUAGCACAAUAAUUUUCACUGAAGUACACUUGGACGCAAUGGCUGCUGUCUUAAAUGUGCAUUGAUUUUAUCUUGUCAUAUUGCAUGGUUUGGAUCUCAUUUGUUUGAAUUUGUUUCCACUGUUUGCCUUAUUGUAAAGUAAAGAUGCCAUGCAAAUAAAGGUAUUGUGUAUUAUGCUCCCUUA
Long non-coding RNA from Acanthochromis polyacanthus (spiny chromis), 949 nucleotides. RefSeq lists it as uncharacterized. NCBI's taxonomy places the organism in Eukaryota, Metazoa, Chordata, Actinopteri, Pomacentridae. The record is from RefSeq and is a predicted model, not a curated record. The transcript is spliced from 5 exons.